AUCGCCUACGGGGGGCAGCAGUGAGGAAUAUUGGUCAAUGGCCGGGAGGCUGAACCAGCCAAGUCGCGUGAGGGAAGACGGCCCUACGGGUUGUAAACCUCUUUUGUCAGGGAGCAAGAGGCGGGUCGAGACCUGCUGUGAGAGUACCUGAAGAAAAAGCAUCGGCUAACUCCGUGCCAGCAGCCGCGGUAAUACGGAGGAUGCGAGCGUUAUCCGGAUUUAUUGGGUUUAAAAGGUGCGCAGGCGGAGGCACAAGUCAGCGGUAAAAUCGCGGGGCUCCACCCCGCUCCGCCGUUGAAACUGUG
Molecule: ribosomal RNA, 305 nt
Filed under: uncultured bacterium
Lineage: Bacteria
Description: bacterial SSU rRNA
Rfam family: Bacterial small subunit ribosomal RNA
Source: RNAcentral